Molecule: ribosomal RNA, 497 nt
Filed under: uncultured bacterium
Lineage: Bacteria
Description: partial 16S ribosomal RNA
Rfam family: Bacterial small subunit ribosomal RNA
Source: RNAcentral
GAUGAACGCUGGCGGCGUGCCUAAUACAUGCAAGUCGAGCGAACGGACGAGAAUUUUGCUUCUCUGAUGUUAGCGGCGGAGGGGUGAGUAACACGUGGAUAACCUACCUAUAAGACUGGUAUAAUUUCGGGAAACCGGAGCUAAUACCGGAUAAUAUUUUGAACCGCAUGGGUCAAAAGUGAAAGACGGUCUUGCUGUCACUUAUAGAUGGAUCCGCGCUGCAUUAGCUAGUUGGUAAGGUAACGGCUUACGAAGGCAACGAUGCAUAGCCGACCUGACGGAGGGGACGCCGACCUGGGAGGUGAGACGCGGUCCAGAGUCCUGCGGGAGGCAGCAGUAGGGAAUCUUCCGCAAUGGGCGAGAGCAUGACGGAGCGGCGCGGCGUCAGUGAUGACGGUGUCGGGUGCGGAAAACUGUGUUAUUAGGGGAAAACAGAUGUCGAAGUAACUGUGCAGAUCGUGACGGUACCUGGUCAAAAAGCCACGGCUAACUACGUG